Molecule: long non-coding RNA, 6467 nt
Filed under: Pelobates cultripes (western spadefoot toad)
Lineage: Eukaryota; Metazoa; Chordata; Amphibia; Anura; Pelobatidae
Source: RNAcentral
AGUUCAGCCAUGACAUCACUAAUGAUCAUAAUCGGAUGGUAUUAAAGAUGUACGAGUUACAAGAACUGAAUAUGAACGAACUGCAGCAACUCCUGUUACAGAAUGAUCCAAGUUUCCUCCCUGAUGUAAGAUAUUUCUGUCUGUUUGUAUACUUUUCGAUCAAUUAAAAGGACACCCUAACCUCAAUGUAGUGGUUGUGUUGCCCAGGUGUCCUGGUGCCUUUUUGCUUAUUUUAAAACAUUGAAUACAUCCACAAAACAAAAAGAAAUAAAAGAAGGUGUUAACAGCAUUCAUACAUUCAACGUAAGUGGUAUUUUGAGCCAUGUUUAAACACACAAAAUCUCUAAGUCACAGAAUCCUUUAGACUGGGCUUAACAAGUCUGGGAUUUGUCUGGCAGCCGGGCNNNNNNNNNNNNNNNNNNNNNNNNNNNNNNNNNNNNNNNNNNNNNNNNNNNNNNNNNNNNNNNNNNNNNNNNNNNNNNNNNNNNNNNNNNNNNNNNNNNNUCAUGGGGAGCUGAGGUAAGCAUGCUGGUGGGUGCUGACUGAGCGUGGAGGUGGCAAAGGAGCUGUAAUCUCCCUGCUCAGCUCCCUCGCACACCAUCCAGUGAUACCGGGAGCUGGAAUAUGAUGUCACUCCAACCCGCAUAAUAAACGGUGCUGGAGGGAGCUAACCUGGGAGAAACAUGCAAAUGUAUCAUAAAUAUUUGUUUUUAAUGACAUGCACAUUGGGUGUCUAGUACACCAGGGCAGCUCUAUCCCACAGUUCACUAAUUUAAUGACAGUACUAAUUUAAUUUCAUACAUAAAAAUAUUGAAUACGAAGUUCUACAGAUAAAAACAACUUAAAGUGAAUGGGUGGAGUGAGUGAUAGUGAUAGCAAGCCUCUGUCUAAAGGUCACUCCUAACCUUGUACACACAUAAAAACAAAAAGUAAAGAUAAUAUCGAUACAAAAUAACAGGGCGUCACAAUCACUAAUAUUUACCAGCCUUGUCAGCAUUCCCCAUAAAACAUAUAUCAAUGAAAAAAAUAUCAGGCACUCACUGUGAUACAUUAAGCAGCUUUAAUGGAUACCGCAACGUUUCGGCCUAGCUUGACAAAGACCUGGAUACAGGUCGAAACGUUGCAGUAUCCAUUAAAGCUGCUUAACGUAUCACAGUGAGUGCCUGAGAUUUUUUUCAGUGGGAUUUGGGUUGUCACUGAACACAAGUUUUGGGUCAUUUUGGUUGGACAUCUAUACUAAAUUUGUUUUCAGUGCAUUUCCAUGUCAAAUAAAAACAAUAGCAGAAAAAUAGUCCAGAUGGCAUGCAAAGUGUGAUUUAGGUAUAUUUACCAAAUGUCUUCUGAACUAACAGUUGGAAGCAUACAGUUUUCUGUUUGCCUGUUUUAGACAGAUGAGAGAGAAGACAUCUGCAAUAUUAGUAAAAUGUAUAACAUGGGUAUUAACCUACCUGACCACAUGGAAUCCUAUUCCCUCAGCUUGAGUGUUACUCGUCUGUGGUUGCCUGCUAUCUCCCUGCUCUAAACCCCUUUGGCUGUGGAAUUUAAAAGUAUGCUGAUGUGUAUGGAGGAGCCGCAAUACUGUGGGAGUCUCCAUAGAUCAAGUCUCUUGAUGAGUAAGACGAUGCCGGAAUCCGACAGCCGUCAGACCUCCUUUUGCCAACCUCAGGUUGUCCAUAAGACAAAGUAGUUCCUAUGUUAUCUUAUGGAUUCUUUGGCUUGCACUGGAAUUUCAACUCGGACAGCAUUAAUAUUAUAAAACUAUUAUAUCGUGAUAGAGCUACUUUAACCACUAGUAACAGAGAGCACAGUUUCUCAGCAACCAGAGGAAUGUAUAAAAAAAAAAUAAAAAAAAAAUAAAAAAUACAUGUUGACAUUGUUUUCAUUUUGUUUAUAUAUUUGUGCAAUUAUGACGUUUAUUGACUAUUUGUUUCAGAAAUUACUCCUGGUGCUAAAAGUUCAUUAAGAUUCACAUUUUCUUAACAUACAACAAUUACUAAAUAUACAACAAUGCAUUAUAUUCACAUGGCACUUAAUGGCAGACCUUGACACUAAAGAUAUUUUUGGGCUAGAUUUCUUAUAAAGCAUAAAUGUUGGAUAAUCCUCAUGGGAUAUGUAGUUCUCAAAUGUCUCUGCAGUACCAUUACAGUAGUCAUUACUUUACAUUAUUUAUUUUAACAAGAUACAGCAGCUAUUUAAAUUUUCUGGUGUCAUCUUUUUUUGUCUUUCCCUCACAAGGUGUGCACGUAUUAUAAUAAAGGGGAUGGCGAAUUUGGAUCUUGCACCUUUAAGACAGGCUGUCACAAAUUGCACAUUUGUCAAUAUUUUCUGCAUGGGGAGUGCAAAUAUAUGAACAAUUGCAAGAGAUCGCACAGCUUCUCAAAUGUACGAACAACAAAGAUACUGGAGAAAGGGGGAAUGAGCAGUGAACUGGUCCCCAGAUUGCUAGAUAUCUACAGGAACGCCAGCACGCUCAGAGAUAUUCCUAAGAAAAAGCAUACCAACUUGGGGACUGAAGGCAAGUACAUUUUAAUGAAUGUGAAAAUGGAAGACUAGAUGUUCUGCCCUAAUCAGGGACAAAAAAACUAGAACGAGAAAAACUGCGAAUGCAGAAAUAUAGAACUGUUGCUAGCGGUUUUUAAAUGUAUCCAUGUACCCGUAACUUUUGUUCUUAGUCACUGUGGAAGCACUUUUGCAAUUUGCAAAGACCUCUGACGGUGACAUUACCGAUGGGGUCCAGUGGCCGGGAAGGUUAGUUUAACUCGUAGGCACCACCAUCCUCUUCCAGCUGGUCCUCUUCUGUGGCAGAACUGCUCAUGUCUUCACAUAGUUUUUUUCACUUCUUUUGGAUCCACAGGAUAAAAAUAUAUGUUUUAAAGGUUGAACUUAAUGGACUUAAAGCAGAUCUGUCCCCAUCUGGGGGUCCAGUGGCUGGUGGAGGGGCAACAGGCAAAUGUGAGUUUUAAUUACCUGAACCUGUCCCUCACGGUCCCAUCCUCUUCUGUCUGCUUCUCUUCAGCAGGAGCCAACAUUGCUGCUGUACUCUCACACAUGCGCAAGAGUACACCAUUGAGGUCUAUUGAGGAUCCUGCAAGACCUAGACAAAGACAGACCCAAUUCCCUGCAGCUGUCCCUACUUGGUCUCUGUAUAUCUUUUGACUGGGUUGGAUUAUCAGUUUCACUCCAACACAGUCAAUAUGAGCAUUGCAUAAAGAUUUUAUCUGUAUGAAAUAUUAAUUUUGCUUGGGAUGGGGGAACAGUGCCACUUUAAGACUGUAGUUAGAUUUCCCAUUGACUACACUGUCAGGGUUAUUCACUAAAAUGAGAAAUAUUGGAAAUCCAAAGUGAAUUUCUAAUUUAAAGUGGACAUGGUGAGCAGUGUUUCUUACAUCCAGAGCUAUUGUUAAUUGUGUGCUGGGAGCUAGAUGCACCCCCAGCAUACGUGACUCUGUUGUGGGCUGCCUAUGUAAAUUCUCUAAAGGGACACUGUAGGGACUCAGACCACUUCAGCUCAUUGAAGUGGUCUGGAUGCAAUGUCCCAUGUCCCUUAAUCCUACAGUGGUAAUUAUUGCAGAGAAACUGCAAUAAUUACCUGCAAGAGUUAACUCCUCCUAUAGUGGCCACAGCCACUAGAGGGACUUCGGUUCCUUAGACUAUGCAUGAGGAAUUCCAGCGUCACCAGAAUCCCCAUAGAAAAGCAUUAAUUAAAUCCUUAUGCGAGUGUGGCCAUUGCCGCACAUGCGCAUUAGGUCUCCCCCACCGACGUCAGGAAGGAGUGUGGGCGGAACCUGACCAUCAUAUACAGCAAACAGGUUUGGAAAUAUCCUUAAUCUUUUUUCAAAGUUUAUUAAAGGACCACUAUAGGCACCCAGACCACUUCAGCUUAAUGAAGUGGUCUGGGUGCCAGGUCCUUCUAGAGUUAACCCCUUUUUUUUUUUUUAUAAACAUAGCAGUUUCAGCGAAACUGCUAUGUUUAUAAAUAGGUUAAUCCAGCCUCUAAAGCCUCUAGUUGCUGUCUCAUUAACAGCCACUAGAGGCGUUUGCGUGCUUCUCACUGUGAAAAUCACAGUGAGAAGACGCCAGCCUCCAUAGGAAAGCAUUAUGAAUGCUUUCCUAUGAGACUGGCUGAAUGCAUGUGCAGCUCCUGCCGCGCCCGCGCAUUCAGCCGUAGAGGAGGAGGAGAGCUCCCCGCCCGGCGCUGGAGAAAGAGGUACGUUUAAUCCCUUCCUCUCACCAGAGCCCGGCGGGAGGGGGACACUGAGGAUAGGGGCACCGUCAGGGCACUAUAGUGCCAGGAAAACGAGUAUGUUUUCCUGGCACUAUAGUGGUCCUUUAAGAAAUAUAUAUAAAAAUAUACAUAUUGCAUAUUUAUGUAUAAGAUAAGCAUACUUAUAUUAAAGUAUGCUUAUCUUAUACAUAAAUAUGCAAUAUGUAUAUUUUUACAUAUUGCAUAUUUAUGUAUAAGAUAAGCAUACUUAAAAUAUUGCAUAUUUAUGUAUAAGAUAAGCAUACUUAUAUUAAAGUAUGCUUAUCUUAUACAUAAAUAUGCAAUAUGUAUAUUUUUAUAUAUAUUUCUUAAAGGACCACUAUAGUGCCAGGAAAACAUACUCGUUUUCCUGGCACUAUAGUGCCCUGAGGGUGCCCCCACCCUCAGUGACCCCCUCCCGCCGGGCUGGAUGGAGAGGAAGGGGUUAAACUUACCUCUUUCUCCAGCACCGGGCAGGGAACUCUCCUCCUCCUCUCCUCUUCGGCUGAAUGCGCGUGUGCGGCAGGAGCUGCGCGCGCAUUCAGCCAGUCCAUAGGAAAGCAUUCACAAUGCUUUCCUAUGGACGCUGGCGUCUUCUCACUGUGAAAAUCACAGUGAGAAGUGCGGAAGCCCUCUAGCGGCUGCCAAUGAGACAGCCACUAGAGGCUGGAUUAACCCUAACAUAAACAUGUUUAUAAACAUGCUAUAUUUAUAAAAAAAAAAGGGUUGAUCCUAGAAGGACCUGGCACCCAGACCACUUCAUUAAGUUGUACAGUCAUACAAAGUCAUACGUGAUAUAUACAGGGGCGUUUUAGCCGCGAGGCAAACAAGGCAUUUGCCUUGGGCGGCAUUUUCCAGGGGGUGGCAAAAAAAGCCGCCCCGCAAAUGCCUUGUUAGCCUUGCGGCUAACAGACAUGCCGAGCGGGUGGGCGGGCAGCUGGCGAGGGAGCACUUCCUCUGAGUGGUUUGCUCAGCUCCCUCGCGCGCCGCAGAGUGAGGCUGGGAGCCGGGUUGAUGACGUCAUAUUCCGGCUCCCAGCCUCACUUUGAGGCGCGCCAGGGAUCUGAGCAGAGCGCUCAGAGGAAGUGCUCCCUCGCCAGCCGCCCGCCCAGCCCAAAGGUAAGGAGGCUGGAGGGGGGGUUAAAAAAAUACAUGUGUUAAUGNNNNNNNNNNNNNNNNNNNNNNNNNNNNNNNNNNNNNNNNNNNNNNNNNNNNNNNNNNNNNNNNNNNNNNNNNNNNNNNNNNNNNNNNNNNNNNNNNNNNUGAGUGUGUCUGUUAGUGUGUGUGUGUGUCUGUUAGUGUCUGUGUGUGUGUGUCUGUUAGUGUGUGUGAGUGUGUCUGUGUGUGUGAGUGUGUUAGUGAGUCGGUUAGGGAGUGUGUGUCUGUUAGUGAGAGUGUUUGUGUCUGACUGUGUGAGUGAGUGUUUGUCUGACUGUGUGAGUGUGUUUGCCUGUGAGUGUGUGUGUCAGUGAGUGUUUGUGUCUGCUAGUGUGUCUGCUAGUGAGUGUGUUUGCAUGUCAGUGUGUGUGUCAGUGAGUGUGUGUCUGCUACUGAGUGAGUGUGUUUGCAAGUGAGUGUGUGUGUCAGUGAGUUUGUGUUUCUGUUAGCUAGUGUAUGCGUAUCUGUCAGUGAGUGUGUGUGUGUGUGUGUGUGUGUGUAUUUAGAAGGCAGGGCGGGGGGAAGGGAUGGGUGGGGGUCGCGCGCGCGUGGAGGGGUUUGGGGAGUUUGGGGGGUGCCUGAGUUUUUGUCCUGCCUAGGGCAGCACAAAACCAGGAUACACCACUGGAUAUAUGGCAUUUUGAGAGUCAACAAAUAUUUGAUUGCUUUACUUCACCUGAUCACCUGUUUUAUCUACAAUUACCUACUUUUGUGUCAUGCAAACAUCGGCAAAUGACUUUCAAUAUCCACUUCAAGAUCAUUUAGAAGUAAAUUAAAAAGUAGACCUAGGGCAGAACCCUGUUGUGCUCCCAUUACCACUUUUGUCCGAUUUGAACAUUUUCCUUUUACAAGUAUAAAUUUAAUAAUUUCGGAAUGAAAUUAAUAAAACAUUUUUUUCUUGAUUCUUUUAAUAAAUAUUUACAUAACCUUAAAUAGCGACUUGAAUACGUUUUUUCAACUUGUUGUUAUUUAUUUUAGAUCUUCCACCCGAACCUGUGGAAGACCAGCCUAAUGAACUCUCUGAAGAGAUACUUCACUUCAUAAACAACUGCCGUUCUAAAGGUAA